GGUAGCACAGAGAGCUUGCUCUCGGGUGACGAGCGGCGGACGGGUGAGUAAUGUCUGGGAAACUGCCUGAUGGAGGGGGAUAACUACUGGAAACGGUAGCUAAUACCGCAUAACGUCGCAAGACCAAAGUGGGGGACCUUCGGGCCUCAUGCCAUCAGAUGUGCCCAGAUGGGAUUAGCUAGUAGGUGGGGUAACGGCUCACCUAGGCGACGAUCCCUAGCUGGUCUGAGAGGAUGACCAGCCACACUGGAACUGAGACACGGUCCAGACUCCUACGGGAGGCAGCAGUGGGGAAUAUUGCACAAUGGGCGCAAGCCUGAUGCAGCCAUGCCGCGUGUGUGAAGAAGGCCUUCGGGUUGUAAAGCACUUUCAGCGGGGAGGAAGGCGGUGAGGUUAAUAACCUCAUCGAUUGACGUUACCCGCAGAAGAAGCACCGGCUAACUCCGUGCCAGCAGCCGCGGUAAUACGGAGGGUGCAAGCGUUAAUCGGAAUUACUGGGCGUAAAGCGCACGCAGGCGGUCUGUCAAGUCGGAUGUGAAAUCCCCGGGCUCAACCUGGGAACUGCAUUCGAAACUGGCAGGCUAGAGUCUUGUAGAGGGGGGUAGAAUUCCAGGUGUAGCGGUGAAAUGCGUAGAGAUCUGGAGGAAUACCGGUGGCGAAGGCGGCCCCCUGGACAAAGACUGACGCUCAGGUGCGAAAGCGUGGGGAGCAAACAGGAUUAGAUACCCUGGUAGUCCACGCUGUAAACGAUGUCGAUUUGGAGGUUGUGCCCUUGAGGCGUGGCUUCCGGAGCUAACGCGUUAAAUCGACCGCCUGGGGAGUACGGCCGCAAGGUUAAAACUCAAAUGAAUUGACGGGGGCCCGCACAAGCGGUGGAGCAUGUGGUUUAAUUCGAUGCAACGCGAAGAACCUUACCUGGUCUUGACAUCCACAGAACUUUCCAGAGAUGGAUUGGUGCCUUCGGGAACUGUGAGACAGGUGCUGCAUGGCUGUCGUCAGCUCGUGUUGUGAAAUGUUGGGUUAAGUCCCGCAACGAGCGCAACCCUUAUCCUUUGUUGCCAGCGGUCCGGCCGGGAACUCAAAGGAGACUGCCAGUGAUAAACUGGAGGAAGGUGGGGAUGACGUCAAGUCAUCAUGGCCCUUACGACCAGGGCUACACACGUGCUACAAUGGCAUAUACAAAGAGAAGCGACCUCGCGAGAGCAAGCGGACCUCAUAAAGUAUGUCGUAGUCCGGAUUGGAGUCUGCAACUCGACUCCAUGAAGUCGGAAUCGCUAGUAAUCGUAGAUCAGAAUGCUACGGUGAAUACGUUCCCGGGCCUUGUACACACCGCCCGUCACACCAUGGGAGUGGGUUGCAAAAGAAGUAGGUAGCUUAACCUUCGGGAGGGCGCUUACCACUUUGUGAUUCAUGACUGGGGUGAAGU
RNAcentral lists this ribosomal RNA (1426 nucleotides) under Klebsiella variicola. RNAcentral's name for it is "bacterial SSU rRNA". It matches the Rfam family "Bacterial small subunit ribosomal RNA". The record is from RNAcentral. Lineage: Bacteria; Pseudomonadati; Pseudomonadota; Gammaproteobacteria; Enterobacterales; Enterobacteriaceae.